RNAcentral lists this ribosomal RNA (465 nucleotides) under uncultured bacterium. Its description in RNAcentral is "partial 16S ribosomal RNA". It matches the Rfam family "Bacterial small subunit ribosomal RNA", at positions 338 to 795 of the family's 1533-position model. The record is from RNAcentral.
CCUACGUGAGGCAGCAGUAGGGAAUCUUCCACAAUGGGCGAAAGCCUGAUGGAGCAACGCCGCGUGGGUGAAGAAGGUCUUCGGAUCGUAAAACCCUGUUGUUAGAGAAGCAAGUGCGUGAGAGUAACUGUUCACGUUUCGACGGUAUCUAACCAGAAAGCCACGGCUAACUACGUGCCAGCAGCCGCGGUAAUACGUAGGUGGCAAGCGUUAUCCGGAUUUAUUGGGCGUAAAGGGAACGCAGGCGGUCUUGUAAGUCUGAUGUGAAAGCCUUCGGCUUAACCGGAGUAGUGCAUUGGAAACUGGGAGACUUGAGUGCAGGAGAGGAGAGUGGAACUCCAGGUGUAGCGGUGAAAUGCGUAGAUAUAUGGAAGAACACCAGUGGCGAAGGCGGCUCUCUGGUCUGUAACUGACGCUGAGGUUCGAAAGCGUGGGUAGCAAACAGGAUUAGAUACCCGAGUAGUC